Pelobates cultripes (western spadefoot toad) is the source of this 239-nucleotide non-coding RNA. The record is from the annotation of a GenBank genome assembly. NCBI's taxonomy places the organism in Eukaryota, Metazoa, Chordata, Amphibia, Anura, Pelobatidae.
AUCAAUAGAAACAUAGAAUAUGCAAUAUUCUACAAAAACAAACCAGAUAUCAGAGCGAAUGGAUCCUGCAGCGAAUCUGCUUAUGUGAAUGCCCAGCCCAUUACCUCCAAUAGAGCGCUCUCCAUUUGCAUACCAUAAUUAAAUGAUAUACCUGGGCAAUCAAUUAAAGUAACACCUUCCAACCUGCAUAACGAUGCAUACUACAGAUACAAUAAUAAAUGGAUGAAUACAUUUCCCAC